AGUGAACGCUGGCGGUAGGCCUAACACAUGCAAGUCGAACGGCAGCACAGUAAGAGCUUGCUCUUACGGGUGGCGAGUGGCGGACGGGUGAGGAAUACAUCGGAAUCUACUUUUUCGUGGGGGAUAACGUAGGGAAACUUACGCUAAUACCGCAUACGGCCUACGGGUGAAAGCAGGGGAUCUUCGGACCUUGCGCGAUUGAAUGAGCCGAUGUCGGAUUAGCUAGUUGGCGGGGUAAAGGCCCACCAAGGCGACGAUCCGUAGCUGGUCUGAGAGGAUGAUCAGCCACACUGGAACUGAGACACGGUCCAGACUCCUACGGGAGGCAGCAGUGGGGAAUAUUGGGCAAUGGGCGCAAGCCUGAUCCAGCCAUACCGCGUGGGUGAAGAAGGCCUUCGGGUUGUAAAGCCCUUUUGUUGGGAAAGAAAAGCAGCAGGUUAAUACCCCGCUGUUCUGACGGUACCCAAAGAAUAAGCACCGGCUAACUUCGUG
This 492-nucleotide ribosomal RNA is filed under the name uncultured bacterium. RNAcentral describes it as "partial 16S ribosomal RNA". It matches the Rfam family "Bacterial small subunit ribosomal RNA", at positions 29 to 507 of the family's 1533-position model. The record is from RNAcentral.